UACAGAGGGUGCAAGCGUUGUUCGGAAUCACUGGGCGUAAAGGGCGCGUAGGCGGCUUGGCAAGUGGAUGGUGAAAUCCCUCGGCUUAACCGAGGAACGGCCGUCCAAACUGCUUCGCUUGAGACCGGGAGAGGUGAGUGGAAUUCCCAGUGUAGCGGUGAAAUGCGUAGAUAUCAGGAGGAACACCGGUGGCGAAGGCGGCUCUCUGGACCACAACUGACGCUGAGGCGCGAAAGCUAGGGGAGCAAACAGG
RNAcentral lists this ribosomal RNA (253 nucleotides) under uncultured bacterium. Its description in RNAcentral is "partial 16S ribosomal RNA". It matches the Rfam family "Bacterial small subunit ribosomal RNA", at positions 524 to 776 of the family's 1533-position model. The record is from RNAcentral.